Non-coding RNA from Arachis ipaensis, 273 nucleotides. Lineage: Eukaryota; Viridiplantae; Streptophyta; Magnoliopsida; Fabales; Fabaceae. The record is from RefSeq and is a predicted model, not a curated record.
UCCCAAUGAAGAAGAUUUUGGUGUUGAGUCUGAUUAAAGUACAUCUUGUUAAGUUUUAUGGUUGGUUUGCAUUAUGAAGUUUUAGCUAUUUUGUUGGAGAAGACACCAUAACUUUGCUAUCAGUUUAAUGAUAAUUUAUUUUUAUUUUCAGUUGUGUUGAGUGUUGAGCUAUUAAACUUCUUUAAUUGUCGUAUUUGAAUUCUAUUGUCGUUAUAUUUCAUUAGAUCAAGACUUUGUUAGCUAUUGUGUAUUUUGGCUUGUUGAUUUCAAUCU